RNAcentral lists this transfer RNA (66 nucleotides) under Fusarium acuminatum CS5907. RNAcentral's name for it is "tRNA-Phe". The record is from RNAcentral. Lineage: Eukaryota; Fungi; Ascomycota; Sordariomycetes; Hypocreales; Nectriaceae.
GCAAGCUCUGCUUUUCUGGCGGUGCACUGAAAAUCCGCAAGCUCGUAUAUUUUUUACGAGCUUGCU